CCUACGGGAGGCAGCAGUGAGGAAUAUUGGUCAAUGGGCUUACGCCUGAACCAGCCAAGUCGCGUGAGGGAAGACUGCCCUAUGGGUUGUAAACCUCUUUUGUCAGGGAGCAACGCCGGCUACGUGUAGCCGGACUGAGAGUACCUGAAGAAAAAGCAUCGGCUAACUCCGUGCCAGCAGCCGCGGUAAUACGGAGGAUGCGAGCGUUAUCCGGAUUUAUUGGGUUUAAAGGGUGCGUAGGCGGAAUGCCAAGUCAGCGGUAAAAGCGCGGGGCUCAACCUCGCUCCGACGUUGAAACUGGCGUUCUUGAGUGGGCGAGAAGUAUGCGGAAUGCGUGGUGGAGCGGUGAAAUGCAUAGAUAUCACGCAGAACUCCGAUUGCGAAGGCAGCAUACCGGCGCCCAACUGACGCUGAAGCACGAAAGCGUGGGUAUCGAACAGGAUUAGAUACCCUAGUAGUC
RNAcentral lists this ribosomal RNA (460 nucleotides) under uncultured bacterium. RNAcentral's name for it is "partial 16S ribosomal RNA". It matches the Rfam family "Bacterial small subunit ribosomal RNA", at positions 338 to 795 of the family's 1533-position model. The record is from RNAcentral.